RNAcentral lists this ribosomal RNA (429 nucleotides) under Gemmatimonadota bacterium. Its description in RNAcentral is "Gemmatimonadetes bacterium partial 16S ribosomal RNA". It matches the Rfam family "Bacterial small subunit ribosomal RNA", at positions 355 to 776 of the family's 1533-position model. The record is from RNAcentral. Lineage: Bacteria; Pseudomonadati; Gemmatimonadota.
UAGGGAAUCUUCGGCAAUGGACGAAAGUCUGACUGAGCAACGCCGCGUGAGUGAAGAAGGUUUUCGGAUCGUAAAACUCUGUUGUUAGAGAAGUACAAGGACGUUAGUAACUGAACGUCCCCUGACGGUAUCUAACCAGAAAGCCACGGCUAACUACGUGCCAGCAGCCGCGGUAAUACGUAGGUGGCAAGCGUUGUCCGGAUUUAUUGGGCGUAAAGCGAGCGCAGGCGGUUUCUUAAGUCUGAUGUGAAAGCCCCCGGCUCAACCGGGGAGGGUCAUUGGAAACUGGGAGACUUGAGUGCAGAAGAGGAGAGUGGAAUUCCAUGUGUAGCGGUGAAAUGCGUAGAUAUAUGGAGGAACACCAGUGGCGAAGGCGGCUCUCUGGUCUGUAACUGACGCUGAGGCUCGAAAGCGUGGGGAGCAAACAGG